Molecule: ribosomal RNA, 320 nt
Filed under: uncultured eukaryote
Lineage: Eukaryota
Description: partial 18S ribosomal RNA
Rfam family: Eukaryotic small subunit ribosomal RNA
Source: RNAcentral
CCCCUAGAUGUUCUGGGCCGCACGCGCGCUACACUGAACAGUUCAACAAGUCUUAACCUUGGCCGAUAGGUCUGGGUAAUCUUUGAACGCUGUUCGUGAUUGGGAUAGACCUUUGCAAUUAUGGGUCUUCAACGAGGAAUUCCUAAUAAACGCAAGUCAUCAGCUUGCAUUGAUUACGUCCCUGCCCUUUGUACACACCGCCCGUCGCACCUACCGAUUGAAUGGUCCGGUGAAAUCUCGGGACGGCGGCUUGGUCGCUUGCGUCCGACUGCUGAAACUUGAUUAAACCAUAUCAUUUAGAGGAAGGUGAANUCGUANCA